RNAcentral lists this long non-coding RNA (357 nucleotides) under Setaria viridis. Its description in RNAcentral is "long non-coding RNA (SVIR_LNC003569)". The record is from RNAcentral. Lineage: Eukaryota; Viridiplantae; Streptophyta; Magnoliopsida; Poales; Poaceae.
GGAGGCGCAUAUAUUACUUGAGAACAAUAAAUAUUUGCAAAUAGUUUGAUUAGUUAAGUUACUGUAAUUGUUUUUAUCCUAAAAGCCCAAACCAAGGUAUUGCUUGAACUUUUUCAUCAUCAUAUUUCCCGGUAUAUCUGGGCUUUGUAUUGGUUUUUGAGUUGUUAUGCUCCCUAUUUCAUUUUCAGUAACUACGUCAAUGGACCAUCAUUUUUUCCGUGCUCGAAGCAACACAAUUUCCUUGCUAAUUAUCAUUAUCUCGAUGAAUGCAUAGUCCAUUAACAUCAUGAAACUAAACCUCCCCUCCUUAAUAUUCCAAUUUACUUUUUUGGCCCCUGACAGAUCUAGACAUCCCCA